Molecule: long non-coding RNA, 1006 nt
Organism: Pseudophryne corroboree (corroboree frog)
Lineage: Eukaryota; Metazoa; Chordata; Amphibia; Anura; Myobatrachidae
Exons: 3
Source: RefSeq, a predicted model, not a curated record
CUUACAAUGUUUUUUUUGGUUUUAAAAUAUAUUUACGUUGCUAAAUUGUUGUAAUUACUGUUUUUUUUUAUAAUCCUGUUUUCAAAACAAAAUACACAACAUAUGAUACUAAAUGUUGUAAACUUUGUGACUGUGCAGCUGAUUGUUCCUCCAAAAUGUGGGCGAGCACAACAGCAAGGUGCUGCUGCUGCUGGUGCUGGGAGGCCACAACAGGCACAUUCUCAAGCCCCAUCCCCUUCUGGCUCACCCGCCACCUCUCCUGCCCAAUCCCCCUCUCCUGCCCAAUCCCCCUCUCCUGCCCAAUCCCCCUCUCCAGCCACCUCACCCUCUCCAGCCCAAUCCCCCUCUCCAGCCCAAUCCCCCUCUCCAGCCACCUCACCCUCUCCAGCCACCUCACCCUCUUUUGCCCAAUCCCCCUCUCCAGCCCAAACCCCCUCUCCAGCCACCUCACCCUCUCCUGCCACCUCACCCUCAUUUUCCCACUCCCCCUCUCCAGCCCAAGCCCACUCUCUUUCCCAAUCCCCCUCUCCAGCCCACACCCCCUCUCCAGCCCAAUCACACUCUCUUGCCAAAUUCCCCUCUCUGCCCCCCUCCCCCUCUGUGUCCCAAAAAAGCACACCACCACCCUCACACUAUCAUUCCCAAACCCCCUCUGUAAGUACUUCCCCCUUCCAUCCUCUCACACAAUUGGACCCUCCUUCCCCCAUCCUGCCUCCUUCCCCCAUCCAGCACCCAUCCCCCAUCCAGCCAACCUCACCCAUCCAGCCUCCAUCCCCCAGCAAGCCAACAGAAUGGGCAGCAGAGGCCCCGUAGCCACUAGAGGGAGGUGGCCAAGUGGCAGAGGAGAAUGGUGCCGUUGGAGAUCCCACAAGACUGGCAGUCAUCGUUGCCCGCAUGAAGGCACAUUUGGAGGCCAUGUUGGCCGAAGUUGACGUGUUACAAAAUGUACUUUAAAAAAAAAUUAAAAAAAAAGUUUCUUUGACAAUUUUGAUUAAAAAAAAAAAUA